GGGAAUGUCUGUGGCUCAGUGGCUGAGCAUCUGCUUUGAACGUAUAAGGUCACAGGUUCAAUCCCUGGCUUUUCCA
Molecule: non-coding RNA, 76 nt
Organism: Podarcis lilfordi (Lilford's wall lizard)
Lineage: Eukaryota; Metazoa; Chordata; Lepidosauria; Squamata; Lacertidae
Source: the annotation of a GenBank genome assembly